GAAUUUGGGCUACACACGUGCUACAAUGGACAAUACAAAGGGCAGCUAAACCGCGAGGUCAUGCAAAUCCCAUAAAGUUGUUCUCAGUUCGGAUUGUAGUCUGCAACUCCGACUACAUGAAGCUGGAAUCGCUAGUAAUCGUAGAUCAGCAUUGCUACGGUGAAUACGUUCCCGGGUCUUGUACACACCGCCCGUCACACCACGAGAGUUUGUAACACCCGAAGCCGGUGGAGUAACCAUCUAUGGAGCUAGCCGUCGAAGGUGGGACAAAUGAUUGGGGUGAAGUCGUAACAAGGUAGCCGUAUCGGAAGGUGCGGUUGGAUCACCUCC
This 330-nucleotide ribosomal RNA is filed under the name Staphylococcus saprophyticus. Its description in RNAcentral is "bacterial SSU rRNA". It matches the Rfam family "Bacterial small subunit ribosomal RNA", at positions 1205 to 1530 of the family's 1533-position model. The record is from RNAcentral. Lineage: Bacteria; Bacillati; Bacillota; Bacilli; Caryophanales; Staphylococcaceae.